AUAACCAGGCAAUUAAAAUAUAACUAUAUGCUCCUUGUGGUGUUAUUAUAUAGGAAGGAACACUAGUCAAUACCCAUUUCUUGUUUUCUAUUAUUAUGUUCUUCUCUGUCCUUUGACCAGGUGGCUCUGGCUAUUGCAAAUACGGUUGGAGCAAGUAUGCUGCUCCAUCUGUGCGCUCUGCUACUUUCUCGGAAUUUGGUAACAUUGAGUCUCCAAUGUAUACCAGACUUAGACAGUUUUUUUCCACUAUUUAUAGCAGGAUGCAGGUAAGAGCACCAUCACAGCCAGUGGUUGUGUCUAUACCAAUAUUGCAUUAUGAUGGUCAGCUUCUAUAUAUUCAUUGCCUUUUCUGUAAUUUAGAUAGUUCAAUUUUUUUGAAGUUUGGUCGUGUAAUUCCUUAGUGAGACACUUGAGAAUUGUGUGUUUUUC
Humulus lupulus (European hop) is the source of this 429-nucleotide long non-coding RNA. RefSeq lists it as uncharacterized. The transcript has 3 exons. The record is from RefSeq and is a predicted model, not a curated record. NCBI's taxonomy places the organism in Eukaryota, Viridiplantae, Streptophyta, Magnoliopsida, Rosales, Cannabaceae.